Molecule: unclassified non-coding RNA, 321 nt
Filed under: uncultured fungus
Lineage: Eukaryota; Fungi
Description: partial contains 5.8S ribosomal RNA, internal transcribed spacer 2, and large subunit ribosomal RNA
Source: RNAcentral
AACGCAUAUUGCACUCUCUGGUAUUCCGGGGAGUAUGUCUGUUUCAGCAUCAUAAGUACCAUCAAACUUUUAAGUUUGGACUUGGGCCCAAGUGCGGGAUUGUUAUUCCGUGCUGGCCUUAAAUGGAAGUGCGGCGCUUACACUGAUCGGUUCGAGCUAUUUUCUUGAAAUUUCUCGGGCCCCCGCCAAAAAGAAGCGUUAUAGUUGGCCCUUUGGUCAUCUCUCGCUGAAUUUUUUGGUGGUGGGUGCUUGCUGUUCGUAUUUUAUUACUUUUUUUCACACCUUGAUCUGAAAUCAGGCAGGAUUACCCGCUGAACUUAA